This 23-nucleotide unclassified non-coding RNA is filed under the name Saccharolobus solfataricus. Lineage: Archaea; Thermoproteati; Thermoproteota; Thermoprotei; Sulfolobales; Sulfolobaceae. The record is from RNAcentral.
CCACUAUCCUACCCGCAAACAUA